Molecule: unclassified non-coding RNA, 291 nt
Filed under: uncultured fungus
Lineage: Eukaryota; Fungi
Description: partial contains small subunit ribosomal RNA, internal transcribed spacer 1, and 5.8S ribosomal RNA
Rfam family: Eukaryotic small subunit ribosomal RNA (bases 1-73)
Source: RNAcentral
UCAAACUUGGUCAUUUAGAGGAAGUAAAAGUCGUAACAAGGUCUCCGUUGGUGAACCAGCGGAGGGAUCAUUACCGAGUUAUCAACUCCCAAACCCCUGUGAACAUACCUGAACGUUGCCUCGGCGGGACCGCCCCGGCGCCCACUUUCGCGGCCCGGACCCAGGCGCCCGCCGGAGGACCCAAACUCUUGCUUUUGAACAGUGGCAUACUCUCUGAGUCUCACAAACAUAAAAUGAAUCAAAACUUUCAACAACGGAUCUCUUGGCUCUGGCAUCGAUGAAGAACGCAGC